CCUACGGGCGGCAGCAGUGGGGAAUAUUGGACAAUGGGGGCAACCCUGAUCCAGCCAUGCCGCGUGUGUGAAGAAGGCCCUCGGGUUGUAAAGCACUUUCAGUGAGGAAGAACGCCUGGUGGUUAAUACCCAUCAGGAAAGACAUCACUCACAGAAGAAGCACCGGCUAACUCCGUGCCAGCAGCCGCGGUAAUACGGAGGGGGCGAGCGUUAAUCGGAAUUACUGGGCGUAAAGCGCGCGUAGGUGGCUUGAUAAGCCGGUUGUGAAAGCCCCGGGCUCAACCUGGGAACGGCAUCCGGAACUGUCAAGCUAGAGUGCAGGAGAGGAAGGUAGAAUUCCCGGUGUAGCGGUGAAAUGCGUAGAGAUCGGGAGGAAUACCAGUGGCGAAGGCGGCCUUCUGGACUGACACUGACACUGAGGUGCGAAAGCGUGGGUAGCAAACAGGAUUAGAUACCCUGGUAGUC
Molecule: ribosomal RNA, 465 nt
Filed under: Vreelandella stevensii
Lineage: Bacteria; Pseudomonadati; Pseudomonadota; Gammaproteobacteria; Oceanospirillales; Halomonadaceae
Description: partial 16S ribosomal RNA
Rfam family: Bacterial small subunit ribosomal RNA
Source: RNAcentral